GAUGAACGCUGGCGGCGCGCCUAAUACAUGCAAGUCGAGCGAACAGACGAGGAGCUUGCUCCUCUGACGUUAGCGGCGGACGGGUGAGUAACACGUGGAUAACCUACCUAUAAGACUGGGAUAACUUCGGGAAACCGGAGCUAAUACCGGAUAAUAUAUUGAACCGCAUGGUUCAAUAGUGAAAGGCGGUUUUGCUGUCACUUAUAGAUGGAUCCGCGCCGCAUUAGCUAGUUGGUAAGGUAACGGCUUACCAAGGCAACGAUGCGUAGCCGACCUGAGAGGGUGAUCGGCCACACUGGAACUGAGACACGGUCCAGACUCCUACGGGAGGCAGCAGUAGGGAAUCUUCCGCAAUGGGCGAAAGCCUGACGGAGCAACGCCGCGUGAGUGAUGAAGGUCUUCGGAUCGUAAAACUCUGUUAUUAGGGAAGAACAAAUGUGUAAGUAACUAUGCACGUCUUGACGGUACCUAAUCAGAAAGCCACGGCUAACUACGUG
RNAcentral lists this ribosomal RNA (497 nucleotides) under uncultured bacterium. RNAcentral's name for it is "partial 16S ribosomal RNA". It matches the Rfam family "Bacterial small subunit ribosomal RNA", at positions 28 to 507 of the family's 1533-position model. The record is from RNAcentral.